AGUGAACGCUGGCGGUAGGCCUAACACAUGCAAGUCGAACGGCAGCACAGUAAGAGCUUGCUCUUACGGGUGGCGAGUGGCGGACGGGUGAGGAAUACAUCGGAAUCUACUUUUUCGUGGGGGAUAACGUAGGGAAACUUACGCUAAUACCGCAUACGACCUACGGGUGAAAGCAGGGGAUCUUCGGACCUUGCGCGAUUGAAUGAGCCGAUGUCGGAUUAGCUAGUUGGCGGGGUAAAGGCCCACCAAGGCGACGAUCCGUAGCUGGUCUGAGAGGAUGAUAACCGACACUGGAACUGAGACACGGACCAGACUCCUACGGGAGGGACCAGUGGGGAAUAUUGGACAAUGGGGGCAAGCCUGACACAGCGAUCCCGCGUGGGUUAAGAAGGCCUUCGGGUUGUAAAGCCCGUUUGUUGGGAAAGAAAAGCAGCCGGCUAAUACCACGCUGUUCUGACGGUACCCAAAGAAUAAGCACCGGCUAACUUCGUG
RNAcentral lists this ribosomal RNA (492 nucleotides) under uncultured bacterium. RNAcentral describes it as "partial 16S ribosomal RNA". It matches the Rfam family "Bacterial small subunit ribosomal RNA", at positions 29 to 507 of the family's 1533-position model. The record is from RNAcentral.